CCUGUUAAAAAAUAGCAAAGCAAUUUAUUACAAUUCUUUUCCAAGCCCUAACAUAAAAUUUUCUUUAAGAUGCAUUUGAUAAACCUGUUUAAUGCAAAUGUCCUAUUUAAAUAGGUGUGGAAGACUGCUAGAGAUGUUUUGCCCCUUUACACUCAUACGCAACAGAACUCCUCACAGACAUAAUCAACAGGACCAACAUUAGAAGUUGACCGAUAAAUGAUUUAAUUCAUUUUAUAAACAGAUAUACUGAAAUGAAGAACUCAGAAUUUCAUGUGUAAGGACUGCAUUACUAACACAACGACAUGAAGUGGAAGUGCCUGGCACAUUUGUAUCUUUCUCUUCUUCCUUUGAGCAAGAUAAUGAGUUGCGCAAAAAGGUUAAAAAAUAUAUAUGAGUAGGACAGAGACAACGGUCCCAUUUCUCCAGUGUAUCGAUGCCAAUGUCUACGACACAACCACUUACCUCAUCAGAGUCAGACAACACUUUCUUCUUCAUUGCAUUGUAUAAUGGAAUUAUGUCAUAGCAACUCUGGUCUCUGUGUAGAAAGAAAUACAAGUGAUAUUUAUCUUCCAUCUUCACCUAAGGAAUCAACUGUAAUUUGCCUAGGAUAUGGAAAAUACAUAUGCAGCCAUUCCCAAAUAAGAAUGUGUUUACUGCUAUAUGAAUACUAAGAUGCCUGCAGUAAUAAGUCAAGCUAAUUAUCUGCUCAAAAGCUGUAAAAUAUUAUCUGCACUCUGUCAAAUAUAGACCACUUAACAGUGUCAAUGUUUUAAGAUUAAAAAUCAUAACCCUUUAGCAUAAAUUUAUCAGCAUUAGAAAAAUCUAAUAUUAUGCCACAUAAAGGGCUUUGGGGACCAUCUAGUUUUUUAAGAAGCAUUACAGUGAAUUUAUUGUACAAAAGUGCAAUUUAAUACAUUAGCACCCACAACAUAAGACACUUGAAAUGCAAUGUUCAUUUGACUAGGACAUUGAUAAGGACUAACACUGUUAUUGCAUAAACCUGCAUAAUUAAUUCAG
Long non-coding RNA from Myiozetetes cayanensis, 1017 nucleotides. RefSeq lists it as uncharacterized. The transcript has 3 exons. NCBI's taxonomy places the organism in Eukaryota, Metazoa, Chordata, Aves, Passeriformes, Tyrannidae. The record is from RefSeq and is a predicted model, not a curated record.